RNAcentral lists this transfer RNA (72 nucleotides) under Camelus bactrianus (Bactrian camel). It matches the Rfam family "tRNA". From Rfam's summary of the family: Transfer RNA (tRNA) molecules are approximately 80 nucleotides in length. Their secondary structure includes four short double-helical elements and three loops (D, anti-codon, and T loops). The record is from Rfam by way of RNAcentral. RNAcentral also lists the same sequence under 2 other names. Lineage: Eukaryota; Metazoa; Chordata; Mammalia; Artiodactyla; Camelidae.
GAGGGUAUAGCUCAGUGGUAGAGUGCAUGCCUAACAUUCACGAGGUCCUGAGUUCAAUCCCCAGUACUCCCA